GGCCUAUUAGCUCAGUAGGUUAGAGCGUUGUGCUAAUAACACAAAGGUCAAAGGUUUGAGACCUGUAUAGGCCA
Vigna unguiculata (cowpea) is the source of this 74-nucleotide non-coding RNA. The record is from the annotation of a RefSeq genome assembly. Lineage: Eukaryota; Viridiplantae; Streptophyta; Magnoliopsida; Fabales; Fabaceae.